GCACCGGCUAACUCCGUGCCAGCAGCCGCGGUAAUACGGAGGGUGCGAGCGUUAAUCGGAAUUACUGGGCGUAAAGGGCACGUAGGCGGUUUCUUAAGUCAGAUGUGAAAUCCCCGAGCUUCACUUGGGAACGGCAUUUGAAACUGAGAGUCUAGAGUUUUGUAGAGGAGGGUAGAAUUCCAGGUGUAGCGGUGAAAUGCGUAGAUAUCUGGAGGAAUACCAGUGGCGAAGGCGGCCCCCUGGACAGAGACUGACGCUGAGGUGCGAAAGCGUGGGGUAGCAAACAGGAUUAGAUACCCUGGUAGUCCACGCUGUAAACGAUGUCGAUUUGUAGGUUGUGGUUAUAAACUGUGGCUUGCGGAGCAAACGCGUUAAAUCGACCGCCUGGGAAGUACGGCCGCAAGGUUAAAACUCAAAUGAAUUGACGGGGGCCCGCACAAGCGGUGGAGCAUGUGGUUUAAUUCGAUGCAACGCGAAGAACCUUACCUACUCUUGACAUCCAGAGGAGUCGACAGAAAUGUUGACGUGCCCUUCGGGGAGCUUUGAGACAGGUGCUGCAUGGCUGUCGUCAGCUCGUGUUGUGAAAUGUUGGGUUAAGUCCCGCAACGAGCGCAACCCUUAUCUUUUGUUGCCAGCACGUAGAGGUGGGAACUCAAAAGAGACUGCCGGUGAUAAACCGGAGGAAGGUAGGGAUGACGUCAAGUCAUCAUGGCCCUUACGAGUAGGGCUACACACGUGCUACAAUGGCGUAUACAAAAAGAAGCGAGCCUGCGAGGGUGAGCGGACCUCAUAAAGUACGUCGUAGUCCGGAUUGGAGUCUGCAACUCGACUCCAUAAAGUCGGAAUCGCUAGUAAUCGUAGAUCAGAAUGCUACGGUGAAUACGUUCCCGGGCCUUGUACACACCGCCCGUCACACCAUGGGAGUGUUUUGCAAAAGAAGUAGGUAGCUUAACCUUUGGGAUGGCGCU
RNAcentral lists this ribosomal RNA (968 nucleotides) under Candidatus Fukatsuia symbiotica. Its description in RNAcentral is "bacterial SSU rRNA". It matches the Rfam family "Bacterial small subunit ribosomal RNA", at positions 490 to 1454 of the family's 1533-position model. Lineage: Bacteria; Pseudomonadati; Pseudomonadota; Gammaproteobacteria; Enterobacterales; Yersiniaceae. The record is from RNAcentral.